Triticum aestivum (bread wheat) is the source of this 1700-nucleotide long non-coding RNA. RefSeq lists it as uncharacterized. The transcript is spliced from 5 exons. NCBI's taxonomy places the organism in Eukaryota, Viridiplantae, Streptophyta, Magnoliopsida, Poales, Poaceae. The record is from RefSeq and is a predicted model, not a curated record.
UCCGCCCGGGAAAAGUUGUCCCCGUGGUCAUUUUACAAAAACACCCUUAGCUAAUUCCCGACACAGCCCACACUCCUCGUCUAUUCCGGUCGACACUCCGCAGCUCCGACACAGGCGCAUGGACGCCGGAGAUCCCCUGCUUCGGGCUACUCCCCUGCUCUCCCGCGCGUCCUCCUCCGCCGCCGCAGCUGCCUCCUCCGCCGCUCCCUUCUGCCUCCCGCAGCCCCCCACCCUCCCUUGCCUGCCUCCCGAAUCUUCCCUCUUUCACCCAAAAAUUGUUUCUUCUUCCUCCCGCCGUGUCUCCUGCUCGCGGCCACCCCCUCCCUCCUAGCGUUGAUGGAAGAAGCAUGGCCGGCCCUCGGCCCGACGGCCUGCGACGCGGCCUUCCAACCCCCGCCCCGGCCCCCGUGGCGUGGGGCGCGGCCGCAACGGCGCGGCGGGAGACGGUGGCCAAGGAAUCGUCCGCGCAGGCGGUGAGCCAAAUCGUGUCCAGCUGCGCCAACUCGAGCGGCCUGGCCGUGGCCGUCGUCAACGCCAACGCCGUCAUCUCGGGCGGCGCCGCGCUCGCCUCCACUGCGGCCGGCUGGUCAUGGUGCUCGAGGAGGUGUGCGACGCCGCAGUGCGCCGGAGGCUCGCGCUCCUGCCCACCCCCGUCGAGACCGUCGAGCCAACCCCUGAGUUCGUCAAGAGAGGUCGACUGUUUACUUAAUCCAGCCUAGCACGUAGGGCCAGCUUGAACCGUGUGCACCAGGAAGAAGACCAACCCAAAGUUGAUGAAGGGAGACAGCCAACGGGAUGCCCUGCAAAUCAAUUUCGAGCAAGGGAGGUUGUGCGGCGCCGAGCGGAUGUACGGCGAGGUCUUCAUAAUGGCGUCAAGUCACCCUUGCCAUAUGGAAUAUAUGAGGAGCAGCAGCAGCACAAGGAGCAAUUCCUUACAGUACAAUUUUGGAGUACUCUUGGUGUAAAUCAACUUUACUAAUUUUCAGGUUCAGAUCAAUCAGCCACAAUCAGUCCAUUUUUCAGGAAGUACCUGCAGCCAACAGCAGUAGCAGAGGCAAUCGCCGACAGCAGCAGCAGAUGCAGUCGCCAACAGCAGCAACAGGUCCGUUCGGACUCGAUCGAGCGGGCUGCAGCGACAGCAGUAGGUGGCGGGCGACGGCAGCGGCAGGCGGCAGCGGCAGGUGGCGGACGGACGGCAGUGGCAGCAACAGGAUCCCGCCACCGGGGAAGACCCGCGUGGCCCUGCCUGCCGAAGUCAGGGAGAGGGGAGCGGCGGCUGGGGUUGCCUCAGGCACGAGGAACCUGUGCCGGCGAGGAGAGCGACGAGGAGGAGGCGCCCGUUGAGGUGGUCGCCUUGGAGGAGCAGCUGCAGUCGGGGUCGGGCUCCUCGGAGGAGCAGCCGCAGUCGGGGUCGAGCUCCUCAAUGACGUAGGCGGCGCCUGCGCUGGAGGCGAUGCUGCUGCGCUCGCCGGCCGUGCUCGAGCCCCUCGACCCCCUCCACGAGCCCCUCGAUCUCCUCCCUCCUCCGGGACGCGGCUGUGCUGCUCCUGUCCCUGGACGCGGCCCUCCUCGGCGAUCUCGUGGCAGAUGGCGGCGGCGAAGUCCGCGGGCAGGUCAGCGGGGCGGUGGGAGAGCGCGGCCAGGGCGUCGCUGGCGGGGGCCGGACGGUGGACUGAUCGGGCGACGGAGGGAGGAGGAAG